GAACCAGUACCGUGAGGGAAAGGUGAAAAGCACCCCGACGAGGGGAGUGAAACAGUUUCUGAAACCGGACGCCUACAAGCAGUCGGAGCCGCCUUGCGCGGUGACGGCGUACCUUUUGUAUAAUGGGUCAGCGACUUACAUUCAGUGGCGAGCUUAACCGUAUAGGGCAGGCGUAGCGAAAGCGAGUCCGAACAGGGCGUCCAGUCGCUGGGUGUAGACCCGAAACCAGGUGAUCUAUCCAUGGCCAGGAUGAAGGUG
RNAcentral lists this ribosomal RNA (258 nucleotides) under Anophryoides haemophila. RNAcentral describes it as "partial Bacterial large subunit ribosomal RNA". It matches the Rfam family "Bacterial large subunit ribosomal RNA", at positions 492 to 753 of the family's 2925-position model. Lineage: Eukaryota; Ciliophora; Oligohymenophorea; Philasterida; Glauconematidae. The record is from RNAcentral.